AUUGAACGCUGGCGGCAGGCCUAACACAUGCAAGUCGAGCGGAUGGAGGGAGCUUGCUCCUGGAUUCAGCGGCGGACGGGUGAGUAAUGCCUAGGAAUCUGCCUGGUAGUGGGGGAUAACGUCCGGAAACGGGCGCUAAUACCGCAUACGUCCUGAGGGAGAAAGUGGGGGAUCUUCGGACCUCACGCUAUCAGAUGAGCCUAGGUCGGAUUAGCUAGUUGGUGGGGUAAAGGCCUACCAAGGCGACGAUCCGUAACUGGUCUGAGAGGAUGAUCAGUCACACUGGAACUGAGACACGGUCCAGACUCCUACGGGAGGCAGCAGUGGGGAAUAUUGGACAAUGGGCGAGAGCCUGAUCCAGCCAUGCCGCGUGUGUGAAGAAGGUCUUCGGAUUGUAAAGCACUUUAAGUUGGGAGGAAGGGCAGUAAGUUAAUACCUUGCUGUUUUGACGUUACCAACAGAAUAAGCACCGGCUAACUUCGUG
RNAcentral lists this ribosomal RNA (484 nucleotides) under uncultured bacterium. RNAcentral describes it as "partial 16S ribosomal RNA". It matches the Rfam family "Bacterial small subunit ribosomal RNA", at positions 30 to 507 of the family's 1533-position model. The record is from RNAcentral.